Molecule: long non-coding RNA, 652 nt
Organism: Mauremys reevesii (Reeves's turtle)
Lineage: Eukaryota; Metazoa; Chordata; Testudines; Geoemydidae
Exons: 4
Source: RefSeq, a predicted model, not a curated record
AGGCUUCUCAACCUAGCAGGGAUUUUUGUCCAGUAACAUUCUGAGAAGGAAAAUAAUUUACUUAACAGUUUUUUAGUUACUGGAGCAAAGAAAGGUUUAAGAAGAUUUUUUGUGCUUGUGAACUGCUGGCCUUGGAGAGUACUUGCUGUGGAAAGGAAAGGAAAGAUCAUAGGAAACCAGCAGAAAACUGUGGACCCAAAAUCUCCAGGACAUGUGAGAAAUAAUGGCAAGAGGGAGACUGCUGCAAAAAUGAGUAAUGGCCGAAAAACAGAUGUAAUCCCUAUGGCAAAUUUUAAAAGCACCUUGUAGAAUGAAGUUCACUGCCUGCUCCCCCAUGGAACUGGGCGACUUGCCUCCUCUUCUCCUUGGAGUGGAAUGUGCUGCUUCUCUCUCCCGGGAACAGCUGAGUAGUAUGAGGCCCCUCUGCUACAGGAGAGAGGGGCGGUACCCCAGCAGCAUUCUGCCUGACUGGAUAUGCAAAUGGUGAAAAAAAUCUAAUUUGUAACAUUUUCCACUUCAGUUUCUUCAAGUCACAGUCUUUGUUUGAUUGUUAUGCAUGUUUAGAAAUGAACAGAAUUAAUCAUAUCAGAAAAAAUGCAGGCCUAAUAUAAGCUGUAUAGUGCGGCUUAACAAAUGCAAAUAUUUGCCAGCA